Molecule: ribosomal RNA, 363 nt
Filed under: Salmonella enterica
Lineage: Bacteria; Pseudomonadati; Pseudomonadota; Gammaproteobacteria; Enterobacterales; Enterobacteriaceae
Description: bacterial SSU rRNA
Rfam family: Bacterial small subunit ribosomal RNA
Source: RNAcentral
GAUGACGUCAAAUCAUCAUGCCCCUUAUGACCUGGGCUACACACGUGCUACAAUGGAUGGUACAAAGGGCUGCAAGACCGCGAGGUCAAGCCAAUCCCAUAAAACCAUUCUCAGUUCGGAUUGUAGGCUGCAACUCGCCUACAUGAAGCUGGAAUCGCUAGUAAUCGCGGAUCAGCAUGCCGCGGUGAAUACGUUCCCGGGCCUUGUACACACCGCCCGUCACACCACGAGAGUUUGUAACACCCGAAGUCGGUGGAGUAACCGUAAGGAGCUAGCCGCCUAAGGUGGGACAGAUGAUUGGGGUGAAGUCGUAACAAGGUAGCCGUAUCGGAAGGUGCGGCUGGAUCACCUCCUUUCUAAGGA